Molecule: long non-coding RNA, 1418 nt
Filed under: Chelonoidis abingdonii (Abingdon island giant tortoise)
Lineage: Eukaryota; Metazoa; Chordata; Testudines; Testudinidae
Description: lncRNA (ENSCABG00000010831.1)
Source: RNAcentral
UGAAACCUGGUCAUGUGGGGCAGCGCCUCCUCGCUCUUGCUCUGACAUCGUCACAAGGAUGUGGCCACCUCCGCUCUGCUUUUCCUGCCUGCUCAGUUUUUGCUCUAUCGGUUGGCCUCUCGCACAGGGGGGAAUCGCCGGCAGCCCUGGGGAAGGAAAGAUGUGGAGGAAACUCGCUUUUCAGAAGGCCCCAGCCAAUGUCAACAGGAAAUCUCUAUGUCUGUGCCCAAGGGCGGCGAUGCACAACAGCCCCAUAAUCUCUCAGAGCACUUUGCCCAGCUGUCCUGGUAUGAUGCCUUGGCUGGGACAUGGGUGCCGAUAGCCGUCAUCCGUCCAGGGAAAUCAAACCCGCUCCACAGCUCCUUCGCCAGGCAUAUCUCUGUGUCCAACAGAUGGUUCACCGUGAUGAACGCCAGCAAAGCCAUUGCAGGGGUUUAUAAGAUUGAAUCUGAGAUGAAGAAAAGCAAGUGUCUGGUUUUCAUCCGUCUGAUUGUAACAGAGCCUGCACCAACCUCAGUGCCAACCUCAGCUCCAGCCUCCCAGGUGGCCCUGGUCAGCAUUGGGACAGCAGCUGCAGAGCCUGGAUCUUGGUCCAGCCGUAUUGCAGAGGUGGUGGUGCCGGUCGUGGGGGCAGUGAUGGUGGUGGCGCUGUUGAUAUGGCAGAUAAAGAAUAUUGCUCGCUACACGCACUCGUUCUGCAGCCGUCAUGACUUCCCUGCCAGAGCCGCCCCGUCCCAGCAGGCUAGCGACUCAGGCCCGAUGCAGGAGCUGGCAGAGCUGAUGCAGCCAGAGGACGCCAGAGGUGGGGAUCGGUCGGCCAUGCUGAAUGGGAAACUUCUCGGCAGCGCUGAAAUGCUAAAUGCUGGGGGACUGAAUGUGCAGCGGCAGUCAAAAAAGCAAACAGAACGUUGGGUCUCAUUAAGAAGGGGACAGAUAGUAAGACAGAAAAUAUGUUCACAGAAUCAUAGAAUAACAGGGUUGGAAGGGACCUCAGGAGGUCAUCUAGUCCAACCCCCUGCACAAAGCAGGACCAAUUCCCAACUAAAUCAUCCCAGCCAGGGGUUUGUCAAGCCUGACCUUAAAAACCUCUAAGGAAGGAGAUUCCACCACCUCCCUAGGUAACCCAUUCCAGUGCUUGCAUCUUUAUGUUGCCUCUAUAUAAAUCCAUGGUACCCCCACAUCUUGAAUACUGGGUGCAGAUACAAUUGCCCCAUCUCUAAAAAGAUAUAUUAUAACUGGGAAAGAUACAUGUAACAAUGCAGUUCUGGCGGGACCCAACUGAGAAUGCCAAUUCAGGACCAAUUGCUCAAACAGGGCAGUCACAGCCCAAGGCUGGGGUUUUUCCACCUCUAAGGCAAACCAAACCAGCCAGACAAAAAUGACUUCGGUUUCACCCCACUGGCUAAUCACACGUCACA